RNAcentral lists this ribosomal RNA (830 nucleotides) under Vibrio parahaemolyticus. RNAcentral's name for it is "partial 23S ribosomal RNA". It matches the Rfam family "Bacterial large subunit ribosomal RNA", at positions 1082 to 1898 of the family's 2925-position model. Lineage: Bacteria; Pseudomonadati; Pseudomonadota; Gammaproteobacteria; Vibrionales; Vibrionaceae. The record is from RNAcentral.
GGCUCAGACAGCCAGGAUGUUGGCUUAGAAGCAGCCAUCAUUUAAAGAAAGCGUAAUAGCUCACUGGUCGAGUCGGCCUGCGCGGAAGAUGUAACGGGGCUAAGUAGUAAACCGAAGCUGCGGCAAUGUGCUUUUGCACAUUGGGUAGGGGAGCGUUCUGUAAGCGGUUGAAGGUGUGUGGUAACGCAUGCUGGACGUAUCAGAAGUGCGAAUGCUGACAUGAGUAACGAUAAAGGGGGUGAAAAACCUCCUCGCCGGAAGACCAAGGGUUCCUGUCCAACGUUAAUCGGGGCAGGGUAAGUCGACCCCUAAGGCGAGGCCGAAAGGCGUAGUCGAUGGGAAACGGGUUAAUAUUCCCGUACUUCUUACAAUUGCGAUGGGGGGACGGAGAAGGCUAGGUGGGCCUGGCGACGGUUGUCCAGGUUCAAGUGCGUAGGCUUAAGAGUUAGGUAAAUCCGGCUCUUUCUAAGGCUGAGACACGACGUCGAGCACCUACGGGUGUGAAGUCAUUGAUGCCAUGCUUCCAGGAAAAGCCUCUAAGCUUCAGAUUGUAAGGAAUCGUACCCCAAACCGACACAGGUGGUCGGGUAGAGAAUACCAAGGCGCUUGAGAGAACUCGGGUGAAGGAACUAGGCAAAAUGGUACCGUAACUUCGGGAGAAGGUACGCUCUUGAUGGUGAAGUCCCUUGCGGAUGGAGCUGACGAGAGUCGCAGAUACCAGGUGGCUGCAACUGUUUAUUAAAAACACAGCACUGUGCAAAAUCGUAAGAUGACGUAUACGGUGUGACGCCUGCCCGGUGCCGGAAGGUUAAUUGAUGGGGUUAGACUUC